AUUGAACGCUGGCGGAAUGCUUUACACAUGCAAGUCGAACGGCAGCACGGACUUCGGUCUGGUGGCGAGUGGCGAACGGGUGAGUAAUGUAUCGGAACGUGCCCAGUCGUGGGGGAUAACGUAGUGAAAAUUACGCUAAUACCGCAUACGAUCUAUGGAUGAAAGCGGGGGAUCGCAAGACCUCGCGCGGUUGGAGCGGCCGAUAUCAGAUUAGGUAGUUGGUGGGGUAAAGGCCCACCAAGCCAACGAUCUGUAGCUGGUCUGAGAGGACGACCAGCCACCCUGGAACUGAGACACGGUCCAGACUCCUACGGGGGGCAGCAGUGGGGAAUUUUGGACAAUGGGCGAAAGCCUGAUCCAGCCAUUCCGCGUGCAGGAUGAAGGCCCUCGGGUUGUAAACUGCUUUUGUACAGAACGAAAAGGUUUCUACUAAUACUAGGAGCUCAUGACGGCACUGUAAGAAUAAGCACCGGCUAACUACGUGCCAGCCGCCGCCGUAA
RNAcentral lists this ribosomal RNA (500 nucleotides) under uncultured bacterium. RNAcentral's name for it is "partial 16S ribosomal RNA". It matches the Rfam family "Bacterial small subunit ribosomal RNA", at positions 30 to 523 of the family's 1533-position model. The record is from RNAcentral.